Molecule: ribosomal RNA, 376 nt
Filed under: Rhizophagus intraradices
Lineage: Eukaryota; Fungi; Glomeromycota; Glomeromycetes; Glomerales; Glomeraceae
Description: eukaryotic LSU rRNA
Source: RNAcentral
UUGAAAGGGAAACGAUUGAAGUCAGUCGUACCGACGAAAAAUCAGCUCUUUGAGUGCGGACUUGUGGGUUUACGUGAGCUUUACGGCCUCGCUGUUUGCAACGUUCGUUCUUUUUGGGUGUACUUUUUCGUAUGGUAGGCCAAUAUCAGUUUCGAUCGCUAUAAAAUGACCGGCGGAAUGUAGCUUCGAUCUCGUAUUGAAGUGUUAUAGCCUCUGGUAGAUGUGGUGAUUGGGACUGAGGAUUGCAACGAAUACCUUUUUGGGCUAUCCGUCUGAUCUCUGAAAGUUGCUUAGGUGCCGAAAGCGUGCUUACGGUUAUUUAAGUUGACGGUCAAAAGGUUAGAACGUGAUUAUAUUCGUUAAGGAUGUUGACGUA